This 7047-nucleotide long non-coding RNA is filed under the name Canis lupus familiaris (dog). RNAcentral describes it as "lncRNA (ENSCAFG00000056528.1)". Lineage: Eukaryota; Metazoa; Chordata; Mammalia; Carnivora; Canidae. The record is from RNAcentral.
ACUUUUUUUUUUUUUUUUUUUUUUUUUUUUUUAGUUUUUUAAAUUAAGCCCUCUAUGCUCAGGACCCAUCUACAUCUCUGUGUUUCUGACAGCUGCUCAGCACUUCUCUGUGUCAUGCAGGGAACUUCUUUGACUAUAAAUUUGUAACAUGGGCAUGCCCAUCCCAUCAAGUAAAUAUUGCGGCAUACCAUAUUUUAUUUUGUAAUAUUUUGGAACAAAGUCCUUGCUCCUUGAACGUUUACAGAGUUUGAAAGUUCAUUUCAUCCGUAAAAUUAUUUGCAUCUGGUGCCACUUGGAGACUAGUUAUUAAACACACACACACACACACACACACAUCCUCUUUCAUCUUUACUGGUUUGUUGAAGUUUUUUGUCCUCUUAUUAGGAAGUUUUUAAUAGAAAUUUAAUAGAAAAAAAUUUUAGAAAUUCAAUAGAAUUUUUUGAGAAAAUGAUUACUUUUCAAAUUUAAUAGCAUAUAGUUAUUAAUAAUACACAUUCUAAAUAAUCUUUUUCACAAUUUUGAUAUCAUUGAUUUUUAUGUUUUUUUUUAAAAUUUAAUUUAUUUAUUCAUGUGAGACACAGAGAGAGAGGCAGAGACAUAGGCAGAGAGAGAAGCAGGCUCCCUGUGAGGAGCCCGAUGCAAGACUCGAACCCAGGACCCUGAGAUCACGCCUUGAGCCAAAGGCAGACACUCAAGCACUAAGUCACCCAGGUACUGCUGAUUUUUAUGUUCUUUUUUUUUUUUUUUUUAAAUAUUUUAUUUAUUUAUUUAGGAUAGUCACAGAGAGAGAGAGAGAGAGAGGCAGAGACACAGGCAGAGGGAGAAGCAGGCUCCAUGCACCGGGAGCCUGACGUGGGAUUCGAUCCUGGGUCUCCAGGAUCGCGCCCUGGGCCAAAGGCAGGCGCCAAACCGCUGCGCCACCCAGGGAUCCCGAUUUUUAUGUUCUUGAUGCUUCAUAAUUGUGUUGUUGCUCUUGAUUUUUUAAAAAAUUUGUUUUUUUCUGAUAUAGAAAUGAUAUAUGCCUCUUGAACAAGUGGGCUUGGAUGAUUUUCUUUUUGGGCAAUUAGCCUUGUCCAGAACUGGUUCUAUGCUGAUUUUUAAAAAAGUUACAAGGUUCUCUACUGAUCCGUUUACAGGCUUUUUAGUUUUCUAAAUAUAUUUUUAAAAGUCUUUUUAUAUUUGUCUCUCUCUUCCUCUCACAUGUUUUAGAUUUAUUUUCUUGGGCUCUUUCAACUUCCUGAAUUGGAUAGUUCACAUUCUUUUCUGUUUAAUUAUGAAAUCGCAAUGUUACUAGUUUUUCUUAGUAUUUCUUUGGUCACAGCCCCUAUAUUUUACGAUUCUGUUCUUACUGUUACAAUUUUAAAAAUCAUCUAUACCUGUAGUUUUGGUUUCUUUCUUUGUCUCAAGAGUUAUUUAAGAGAGUCUAAUAUGUCUAGUGUUUUAAAAAAAUUCUUCUGUUACAAAUUUCUGGGUUUAUUAUCUCCUGAUUACAGAGUGUGAGAAUGCCGUCUGCAUUGUUUCUACUUUUUGAAAACUAUCAGGAUUUUCUGUAUGGCCUACUAUAUAAUUAAUUUUUGUUAAUGUCAUAAGGCUUUUGAAAAGAAUAUGUAUUUACUGAAUCUAUUUGAAGCUCCAUGUAUACCUAUUAAAUCAAUCAUAUAAAAACAUCUUGUUUAAAGUUUUCAUUUAAACUCUUGGGGCACCUGGGUGACUCAGUCAGUUAGGUAUCUGGCUCGGGUCAUGGUCCCAGGAUCCUGGGAUCGAGCCCUGCAUUGGGCUCCCUGCUCAGUGGUGAGCCUGCUUCUCACUCUUCUCUGCCCCUCCCCUUUGCUUGUACUCUCUCCCUCUCAAAUAGAUAAAUAAAAUCUUAACAUAAAAUAAAAUAAAAUAAAAUAAAAUAAAAUAAAUUCCAAUUAGUUAACAUAUAGUGGCAUAUUAGUUUCCGAUGUAGAAAACAUCUUUUUAUACUUCGUUUUUCCACAUUUGUGACUAUGUGUGUUUGGUCUAUCUGAGGUGGUGACCAAGUCUGGAGAUAUUGUAUUGGUGACUCCCUUUAUAACGGUGGUUUUGUCUUUCUCCUUGCAUUUCCAACAGCAUUUUUCUCUGUUUUCAUCAUUGGGCUCAGUGAAGUGUCUUUCAAUACUUCUUUAGUUGUGUUCUGUUAGAUGCUGCAAAGGGCAGGUAUGUUACACUGGAGUUUUGCUUCUUCCUUUAUUUAAUUAGUCAGUAUAUAUUCACUGAAGACGCCUUCCAUAGGUCCCCAUUGAACACUGAGUAGGUAUUUAUUGAGAAUUGUUUUAAAUUAUGUGUGCCUCUCCCUGUGAGGAGAUAGUCCUUCCCACCUCAAAGAGAUCACUUUGUGUUACUUGACUUGCUUUGGCUAAUGGAAUGUGAUCAGAAGCACCAUGUGCCAUAUCUGAGCACCAUGCUUUCAAUGCCGUUAUUUAUUUAUUUAUUUAUUUAUUUAUUUAUUUAUUUAUUUAUUUAUUUUUAAUUUAUUUUUUAUUGGUGUUCAAUUUACUAACAUACAGAAUAACCCCCAGUGCCCGUCACCCAUUCACUCCCACCCCCCGCCCUCCUCCCCUUCUACCACCCCUAGUUCGUUUCCCAGAGUUAGCAGUCUUUACGUUCUGUCUCCCUUUCUGAUAUUUCCCACACAUUUCUUCUCCCUUCCCUUCUAUUCCCUUUCACUAUUAUUUAUAUUCCCCAAAUGAAUGAGAACAUAUAAUGUUUGUCCUUCUCCGACUGGCUUACUUCACUCAGCAUAAUACCCUCCAGUUCCAUCCACGUUGAAGCAAAUGGUGGGUAUUUGUCAUUUCUAAUAGCUGAGUAAUAUUCCAUUGUAUACAUGAACCACAUCUUCUUUAUCCAUUCAUCUUUCGUUGGACACCGAGGCUCCUUCCACAGUUUGGCUAUCGUGGCCAUUGCUGCUAUAAACAUCGGGGUGCAGGUGUCCCGGCGUUUCAUUGCAUUUGUAUCUUUGAACUCGGCCAUAGUAACUUCUUGCAAGAUACAUCCACGAAGGCAAAAGAAACAAAAGCAAAAAUGAACUAUUGGGACUUCAUCAAGGUAAGAAGCUUUUGCACAGCAAAGGAUACAGUCAACAAAACUCAAAGACAACCUACAGAAUGGGAGAAGAUAUUUGCAAAUGACAUAUCAGAUAAAGGGCUAGUUUCCAAGAUCUAUAAAGAACUUAUUAAACUCAACAUCAAUGCUGUUAUUUAGACCUCAUUGCUUUAUUUUCUGUUGUAACAAAAUCACAUCCAGAUAAGGGGCUACUCCUCAUCCCAAGUUCCUGGAGGGAGUCAACAUGGAUCACCACAACCAAACUGUCAAGAAUGUGUCAUGUGGGGGCACCUGGGUGGCUCAGUGGUUGAGCAUCUGCCUUUGAUUCAGGGCAUGAUCCCGGUGUCCUGGGAUUAAGUCCUGCACCGGGCUCCCUGCAGGGAGCCUGCUUCUCCCUCUGCCUAUGUCUCUGCCUCUCUGUCUCUCUCUGUGUCUGUCAUGAAUAAAAAUAAAAUCUUAAAAACAAAACAAAAAAUAAUCAUGUGAAUGGGCAAAAAACCUUUGUUGGGGCCUUUGAGAUUUUGGCAUUGUUCGUGAAUUCAGCAUAAUUUAGUGACAAAUAUGUACGUGUCCCAUUUUAUCCAUUUGAGGAUCUAAUUAAGAUCCCAAAGAGACAUGGCCCCUUGUCUUGUGACACUUAGGGGAGGUGGAGAGUACUGUUAAGCCACUGAUUACAUAGGUUUCAGUAAUAGCUGAUAGUUUUCUUCAUAUAGAAUCUCUAUACUUUUUGUUAUGCAAAACAUUUUGCAUUUUUUGUCACUGUGAAUAUAAGUCUUUUCAUUAUGUUAUGCAAUACACAUGGCUGGAUUGUGGGAAAUCUACAGAUUUUUGUGUCUAUAUAUAUUACCUGAGCACUUUAUUAGGCUCUUAUAUUUAUUUAUUUUUAAGGUUUUAUUCAUUUAUUUGACAGAGAGAGAGAGAUCACAAGCAGGGGGAGUAGGAGAGGGAGAGGGAAAAGUAGGCUUCCACUGAGCAGGGAGCUGGACACAGGGCUUGAUCCCAAGACCCUGAGAUCAUGACCUGAGCCUAAAGCAGAUGCUUAACCGAUUGAGCUACCCAGGCACCCAAGACUCUUACAUUUUAAUAGCUAAGUAUUCAUUAUAUUUCCUAUGCAUAUGAUCAUAUUUCUUUUUUUACAGAUUUUAUUUAUUCAUGAGAGACACAGAGAGCCAGAGAGCCACCCAGGUGUCUCUAUGACCAUAUUUCUAAUAAUAGUUUUGUUCCCUUGUAAUGAUUAUAAUGAAUUUCCAUCAUAUACCUCAUUUAAUUGGCCAGGUUUCCAUUAAAAUGUGAAAUCAUAAUGGUGAGAGCAAACAUUCUUGCCUUUCUUCUGAUUCUGAUAGGAAAGUGUCCAGUGUUUGACUCUUAGGGUCUGACUUAUUGAGACAAAUUAUCUUUGCCAUGUUGAGAAGAGCAUUUCCUGUCUCUACUUUUCUUUGAGUUUUUAUUCUGAAGAUGUGCUGCAUUCUAAUAAGUGCCUAUUUGCUGCCUGCUGAAAUGAUUGCACAUCUAUAUUUGAUGUACUUUGUUAAUUGCUUUCCUGAUAUUAAAAUACUUCAGCAUUCUGGAGCUCCUGGGUGGCUCAGUUGGUUAAGCAUCUGGGUCUUGAUCUCAGUUCAGGUCUUGAUCUCAGAGUUGUGAGUUCAAGCCUCGAGUUGGGCUCCAUGCUGGGUGUGGAGCCUACUUAAAAAAAAAAGAUUUCGGCAUUCCUUAAUAACCCAAGUUGAUUCUGAUGGAGGAUUUUUUUAAUAUACAGUUUCAUUCAAUUGGUUGCUACUUUAUUUAGCAUCUUGAAGUUUGUUUCAUAAUGGGUUUGGUUUAUAGCUCUUUUUUGUUGGUACUAUCUUUGUGAGAUUUUAGUAUCAAGCUGAUCCUUACUUGCAGUGACCAUUUAAAUUUUUAUUUUUACUAUUUAGGCAUAGUUUAUAUUGCAUGAGGAUUAUCUGUUCCUUGAAAAUUUCAACUGACUUGAUAACAAAACUGUCUGUGUGAACAUCUCUUCAGGAGGUGAUGCUUUAGUAAUUUCCGCAGUUUCUUUGGUGGGUUUGUUUUCCAGAUCAGGUUUUGUGCUCCUGGAGUCCCUUCUGCAGUGGUUCCUCCAGACCCGGAUUUGGUUCAGAUUUGAGUCCAUCCCUUGAUGGAGGCUUCCAUCUCCUGAUCAGAGUAUGUCUUUAGCCAAAUUCUGCCUCUAGAAUCUUAGAAUUUGCCUGGAGUCCCAGAGGGCUGAGAGUUCACUCAGUUGUACAUCUGCUUUUGCUUUUGCACAUCAAUAUGCAUUCUCAUGUGUGCUAGGAUUUAAGUUGAGACUUUUGCUUUCACCAUAACAUGCAUCAGUGUGGGAGGCAGACCUGGAGCCUCAGGGACUCCCAGCCAUUGGAACUUGCUGGUAUUCACUGUGAAGGACCUGGAAAUUGUGAGCAGCCUGAUUGGUUCCGGUUGGUAUUGCCUCAGAAUUCCUCUCGCUGUAUGUGAAUGGCAUUGGGAGAGGGGUACUCUGGUUGCCUCAAAAGGGGGUUCCUCAUGCAAUGAAGAGAGAGCUGCCAUUGUCACGAGUCUUGAGUACCCGAGUAUAUUCAUUUCCUUGGAUUGCCAUCCAAAGUACCACAAACUCGGCGGCAUGAACAACAGAUAGUUAUCGUCUCAAGGUUCUGGAGGCUAGACAUCUGAAGUCAAGGUAUUGGCAGGACUGACUCCAUUUGAGGGCUGCAGAGGAGGCUGUGUUCCAGGCCUCUCUCCCAGCUUUUGGUUGUUUUGCUGGCGAUCUUUGGCUCAGAGCUGGAUCACUUCAUAACUUAAUCUUCACAUGACAUUUCCCUGUGUCUCUUCACUUCAUUUUCCUUCUGCGCAUGUCCAUCUGUGUCCAAAUUUCUCCUUUUAUAAGGACACCAGUCGUAUUGGAUUUGGGCCCAUCCUAAUGACUUCAUGUGAACUUGAUAAUCUCUGUAGGCCCUCUGCUUCCAAGUAAGGGCACAUUCUGAGGUACUAGGGCCUGGGAUUGCGACAUAUUCUUUUUUGGGGGUGGGGGACACCAUUCAACCCAUCACACUGAGUAAGACUGCCAGUAGAAGGUCAGAAGGGCAUCCUCACCAUCAUUUGGAUCCAUGACACUUUGUGUCAUGCGGCAAAUUUGAGUGGGUACUCCACCAGCUGUCUUUCUGAGUCCACUCCAUCAGUCUUCUUAGCAGCCCUGUCUCUGUGCUGGGAGAGAAAAGAACAAGUCGAGGAUGCAGGGCAUCCUCUAUGCAGUCUGCCAAGGGGGAGUUUCUGUGGGGUUAGAGCUUCUCUGUACACUUCUGGUGUCAUACCGAUGGUCCCCGUGUUUCCUCUUCAAGGAUCCCCAGCUGUCUUGAUUGCUCACAACUCUAUUAUCUUCUGAAGGCUCACAGCUUAUAAAAUAGCUGUCAUGUCCAAAGCUGUACAAUAAAGAACCCUACCCGACUCGCACAUUUUGCCUCCUCUCUCGCUAAGCUAAAUAAUGUGACAUUUCGAAUUUGAGAUUUUCAAGUGUAGCUUACAUUUUUGGCUUUUACUAAUUUUAUCAAGGUCUCUUGCUGGGAUGCUUGUCAGUUUCCAAAGGGCUCUGAUAUGAUCUCAUCUUAUUCUUGCAAUGAGUUGCUUUUCUACUCAUUUUUCAUGGCGAUAACUCACAGAAGUUACUGGAGGCACAGGGGUGACUUGGCCAAUGCCACACAGAUAGCAGUAGAGCCAGCACUGUGAUUCUCAGCCCGGCUCCUUUCCAUUAGGUCAUUCUGCUCUCCUGCUACCUCACCGUCAGGCCAAGUCUCGGCUCUCACUCAAGAGCUCGAAACACCACCACCUCCUCCCUGGAGCCCUCUCGGGUUAAAUAGGUGGGAAUAACCAACAGCUUUUCAUUAUAUUACUCAUCUGCAUAGAUGAGGGGCUGGCAAACAGCUAACUCCACAACCUGCUUUUUUGUAGUCUAAGAAUGGUUUUUACAUUUUUAAAGGGUUGUCAAAAAAA